GCAGUAGCCACGGUAAUACGGAGGGGGCUAGCGUUGUUCGGAAUUACUGGGCGUAAAGCGCACGUAGACGGCUUUGUAAGUUAGAGGUGAAAGCCCGGAGCUCAACUCCGGAAUUGCCUUUAAGACUGCAGAGCUAGCAGGUGAGAGAGGUGAGUGGAAUUCCGAGUGUAGAGGUGAAAUUCGUAGAUAUUCGGAAGAACACCAGUGGCGAAGGCGACAUACUGGUCCAUUACUGACGCUGAGGCUCGAAAGCGUGGGGAGCAAACAGGAUUAGAUACCCCAGUAGUCCCUGUCUCUUAUAA
Molecule: ribosomal RNA, 302 nt
Filed under: uncultured bacterium
Lineage: Bacteria
Description: partial 16S ribosomal RNA
Rfam family: Bacterial small subunit ribosomal RNA
Source: RNAcentral